This 448-nucleotide ribosomal RNA is filed under the name uncultured bacterium. Its description in RNAcentral is "bacterial SSU rRNA". It matches the Rfam family "Bacterial small subunit ribosomal RNA", at positions 330 to 792 of the family's 1533-position model. The record is from RNAcentral.
GCCAGACUCCUACGGGAGGCAGCAGUGGGGGAUAUUGCACAAUGGGGGAAACCCUGAUGCAGCGACGCCGCGUGAGUGAAGAAGUAUUUCGGUAUGUAAAGCUCUAUCGGCAGGGAAGAAAAAAAUGACAGUACCUGACUAAGAAGCCCCGGCUAACUACGUGCCAGCAGCCGCGGUAAUACGUAGGGGGCAAGCGUUAUCCGGAUUUACUGGGUGUAAAGGGAGCGUAGGCGGCCAUGCAAGUCAGAAGUGAAAACCCGGGGCUCAACCCUGGGAGUGCUUUUGAAACUGUCAAACUAGAGUACGGGAGAGGUAAGAGGAAUUCCUAGUGUAGCGGUGAAAUGCGUAGAUAUUAGGAGGAACACCAGUGGCGAAGGCGUCUUACUGGACCGAAACUGACGUUGAGGCUCGAAAGCGUGGGGAGCAAACAGGAUUAGAUACCCUUGUA